UACGAAGGGGGCGAGCGUUGUUCGGAUUUACUGGGCGUAAAGGGCGCGCAGGCGGCUUAUUUUGUCAGGCGUGAAAGCCCCGGGCUUAACCUGGGAACUGCGUUUGAUACGGAUGGGCUAGAGUUCGGGAGAGGAGAGUGGAAUUCCCAGUGUAGAGGUGCAAUUCGUAGAUAUUAGGAAGAACACCAGUGGCGAAGGCGGCUCACUGGCUCGGUACUGACGCUGAGGCGCGAAAGCGUGGGGAGCAAACAGG
Molecule: ribosomal RNA, 253 nt
Filed under: uncultured bacterium
Lineage: Bacteria
Description: partial 16S ribosomal RNA
Rfam family: Bacterial small subunit ribosomal RNA
Source: RNAcentral